RNAcentral lists this ribosomal RNA (1357 nucleotides) under uncultured bacterium. RNAcentral's name for it is "bacterial SSU rRNA". It matches the Rfam family "Bacterial small subunit ribosomal RNA", at positions 18 to 1396 of the family's 1533-position model. The record is from RNAcentral.
CCUGGCUCAGGACGAACGCUGGCGGCGCGCCUAACACAUGCGAGUCGAACGAGAGAUGAGGAGCUUGCUCUUCAAAUCGAGUGGCGAACGGGUGAGUAACGCGUGAGGAACCUGCCUCAAAGAGGGGGACAACAGUUGGAAACGACUGCUAAUACCGCAUAAGCCCACGGCUCGGCAUCGAGCAGAGGGAAAAGGAGCAAUCCGCUUUGAGAUGGCCUCGCGUCCGAUUAGCUAGUUGGUGAGGUAACGGCCCACCAAGGCGACGAUCGGUAGCCGGACUGAGAGGUUGAACGGCCACAUUGGGACUGAGACACGGCCCAGACUCCUACGGGAGGCAGCAGUGGGGAAUAUUGCACAAUGGGGGAAACCCUGAUGCAGCGACGCCGCGUGGAGGAAGAAGGUCUUCGGAUUGUAAACUCCUGUUGUUGAGGAAGAUAAUGACGGUACUCAACAAGGAAGUGACGGCUAACUACGUGCCAGCAGCCGCGGUAAAACGUAGGUCACAAGCGUUGUCCGGAAUUACUGGGUGUAAAGGGAGCGCAGGCGGGAGAACAAGUUGGAAGUGAAAUCCAUGGGCUCAACCCAUGAACUGCUUUCAAAACUGUUUUUCUUGAGUAGUGCAGAGGUAGGCGGAAUUCCCGGUGUAGCGGUGGAAUGCGUAGAUAUCGGGAGGAACACCAGUGGCGAAGGCGGCCUACUGGGCACCAACUGACGCUGAGGCUCGAAAGUGUGGGUAGCAAACAGGAUUAGAUACCCUGGUAGUCCACACCGUAAACGAUGAUUACUAGGUGUUGGAGGAUUGACCCCUUCAGUGCCGCAGUUAACACAAUAAGUAAUCCACCUGGGGAGUACGACCGCAAGGUUGAAACUCAAAGGAAUUGACGGGGGCCCGCACAAGCAGUGGAGUAUGUGGUUUAAUUCGACGCAACGCGAAGAACCUUACCAAGUCUUGACAUCCCUUGACGAACAUAGAAAUAUGUUUUCUCUUCGGAGCAAGGAGACAGGUGGUGCAUGGUUGUCGUCAGCUCGUGUCGUGAGAUGUUGGGUUAAGUCCCGCAACGAGCGCAACCCUUAUGGUCAGUUACUACGCAAGAGGACUCUGGCCAGACUGCCGUUGACAAAACGGAGGAAGGUGGGGAUGACGUCAAAUCAUCAUGCCCUUUAUGACUUGGGCUACACACGUACUACAAUGGCGUUAAACAAAGAGAAGCAAGACCGCGAGGUGGAGCAAAACUCAGAAACAACGUCCCAGUUCGGACUGCAGGCUGCAACUCGCCUGCACGAAGUCGGAAUUGCUAGUAAUCGUGGAUCAGCAUGCCACGGUGAAUACGUUCCCGGGCCUUGUACACACCGCCCG